Molecule: antisense RNA, 187 nt
Filed under: Auxenochlorella protothecoides
Lineage: Eukaryota; Viridiplantae; Chlorophyta; Trebouxiophyceae; Chlorellales; Chlorellaceae
Description: Antisense RNA which regulates isiA expression
Rfam family: Antisense RNA which regulates isiA expression
Source: Rfam by way of RNAcentral
UAUAACCAAAAAUAACACCCGGGUUUACAGUUGGGUUAGUUACUAAACGAACAUCACCACCACCUGGAGCCCAUGUAUCGUAAAUACCACCAAAAUAAAGAGCUUUUAAUACUAAAAGCCAAGCUCCGAUACCUAGAAUAACUAAAUGAAUACCUAAAAUAGUAGUCAUUUUGUUUUUAUCUUUCCA